GGAGAGAUGGCUGAGUGGUCGAAAGCGGCAGAUUGCUAAUCUGUUGAUGCCUUUAGGGGUAUCCGAGGGUUCGAAUCCCUCUCUCUCCG
RNAcentral lists this transfer RNA (89 nucleotides) under Acaryochloris sp. CRU_2_0. RNAcentral's name for it is "tRNA-Ser". It matches the Rfam family "tRNA". Rfam says of the family: Transfer RNA (tRNA) molecules are approximately 80 nucleotides in length. Their secondary structure includes four short double-helical elements and three loops (D, anti-codon, and T loops). The record is from RNAcentral. RNAcentral also lists the same sequence under 2 other names. Lineage: Bacteria; Bacillati; Cyanobacteriota; Cyanophyceae; Acaryochloridales; Acaryochloridaceae.